GCAGGAGAUUUGAAGGGGAGCUGCCCGUAGUACGAGAGGACCCGGGUGGACGAACCUCUGGUGUCCCAGCUGUUCCACCAGGAGCAAAUGCUGGGUAGCCAUGUUCGGAAGGGAUAAGCGCUGAAAGCAUCUAAGUGCGAAGCCCACCCCAAGAUAAGAUCUCCCUCCUGGUAGCAAUACCAGGACGAAGACUCCAGGUAGACUACCUGGUUGAUAGGCCUCAGGUGUAAGACCCGCAAGGGUUUAAGCUGAGAGGUACUAAUCAGUCGAGCGGCUUGGCACA
This 283-nucleotide ribosomal RNA is filed under the name Candidatus Omnitrophota bacterium. RNAcentral's name for it is "partial 23S ribosomal RNA". It matches the Rfam family "Bacterial large subunit ribosomal RNA", at positions 2652 to 2925 of the family's 2925-position model. The record is from RNAcentral. Lineage: Bacteria; Pseudomonadati; Candidatus Omnitrophota.